GAUGAACGCUGGCGGCGUGCCUAAUACAUGCAAGUCGAGCGAACAGACGAGGAGCUUGCUCCUCUGACGUUAGCGGCGGACGGGUGAGUAACACGUGGAUAACCUACCUAUAAGACUGGGAUAACUUCGGGAAACCGGAGCUAAUACCGGAUAACAUGUUGAACCGCAUGGUUCAACAGUGAAUGACGGUCUUGCUGUCACUUAUAGAUGGAUCCGCGCCGCAUUAGCUAGUUGGUAAGGUAACGGCUUACCAAGGCAACGAUGCGUAGCCGACCUGAGAGGGUGAUCGGCCACACUGGAACUGAGACACGGUCCAGACUCCUACGGGAGGCAGCAGUAGGGAAUCUUCCGCAAUGGGCGAAAUCCUGACGGAGCAACGCCGCGUGAGUGAAGAAGGUCUUCGGAUCGUAAAACUCUGUUAUUAGGGAAGAACAAAUGUGUAAGUAACUAUGCACGUCUUGACGGUACCUAAUCAGAAAGCCACGGCUAACUACGUG
RNAcentral lists this ribosomal RNA (497 nucleotides) under uncultured bacterium. Its description in RNAcentral is "partial 16S ribosomal RNA". It matches the Rfam family "Bacterial small subunit ribosomal RNA", at positions 28 to 507 of the family's 1533-position model. The record is from RNAcentral.